AUCCAGCUGACGAGUCCCAAAUAUGAUGAAACGCUCAUCCUAGAU
Schistosoma haematobium is the source of this 45-nucleotide non-coding RNA. NCBI's taxonomy places the organism in Eukaryota, Metazoa, Platyhelminthes, Trematoda, Strigeidida, Schistosomatidae. The record is from Rfam.